AAAUUAAUUAUUCUGUAGUUAAUAAAUUAUAUUAGUUUGGCAUUUUCUUCAUUUAUUCAAUAUGUAACCCUAUUGAAUAUCUGAUCAAAUAAUGAUCAGCACAACAUCAGUAGUAUGGUAGAAUUUAUGAACAAGUCUUUUAUGUCAGAGCUGCUCGAGCUGUUAAAAACUGUCAAAACCGGCCAGAAUUGUUGGGAAUCGUAAUUUCAUUUUAAGUUCUUCUUCUAAAGUAAAUUAGGUUUUCUUAAUUGUAAUUGUAAAUGUAAUUCUGAAAAUAUAAAAUACCAAGAAGUAUGGCCGUCUUAGCAGCUGCUGCGUUGUUGGACGAAUUAAUGGGAAGGAAUAGAAACGUCUUACCAAAUGAGAAAGUUAAAGAGCUAAAUUGGGAAGAUUCUGAAUAUUGCAAAUAUUAUAUGGUUAAGUUUUGCCCCCAUGAUCUUUUUGUUAAUACGAAGGCAGAUUUGGGAGCGUGCCCCAAAGUGCACGAUGACGAAGUCAAGAAAUUAUUCGAAGAAGCUAAGGGUCAUAGAAAAUUACAAUAUCAAGAAGAAUUUUUACGAUUUUGCAAUGCAAUGAUGAGUGAAGUUGAACGUAAAAUAGUUAAAGGCAAACAGAGGCUUGCCCUAAAUCAAAAAGUCGACGGCCCUUCAUUAAGUCCUGCUCAAACCCAAAGAAAUCAAGAACAGAUUAAUAUUUUAAAUGAGAGAAUCAAUGGACUUGAAAAGGAGGCAGAGCAAGCUGGGAUAGAUGGUAAUGUUGAGCAGGCUCAAGGUUUGAUGAAAUUGUGUGAUCAGCUCAAAGAUGAACGAGAAACUUUGAAAACCCAAAAUGAAAAUAGCCAAUGGAGUCUAACAGCCGAACUUGCAGCUGUUCAAGAAAAACAAAUGGAGGUUUGUCAGGUUUGUGGGGCAUUUCUUAUAGUUGGUGAUGCUCAGCAGCGAAUAGACGAUCAUUUAAUGGGUAAACAGCAUGUUGGCUAUUCAAAGUUGAGAGCAGCUAUUGAGGAGAUUACGACUAUUGUACAGGCAGCGAAAGAUGAACGGCGAAAUAAAGAGGAUAAGAGGGAACGGCGUAAAGACAGGGAUAGCAGCGAGAGAGACAAACACCGACGUGGUGGUAGCUAUGAGAGAGAAAGAGAUAGAUCUGAACAUAAAUUGAGUAAAGAAAAGGAACGAAAUAGUGAAGGUAGAGACAGGAGAGAUAAGGAGAGAAGAGAUCGUGAGGAGCGGAGGGAUCGGGAAAGGGAUAGAAAAGAUCGUGAAAGAGAGAGGGAACGGGAGAGAAGACAUCGAGAUAGAGAUGGUCAUCGGGAAUCAGGUCAUCGGAGUUCUCGUCACUCGCACUCUCAUCAUCGUCGAUAAAUUCACCGCGUAAUUGACCAGUAAGGCUGCCAGGUUCAGGUAGGUGCCAUUCUAGUGUAAACGUUCUCUUUCAGGCAAAUCAGGUUAGUGAUUUAUCUACCUCAUAGUUGUUAAAUGAGUGUUUUAAUUAUUCGAAUUAUUUAAAAUUAAUUCCUUAAAUGCCUUCAAUUUAUUGGGUGCCUCAACGUGUUAUAGAUUUUGAAUCUAAUUUUGGGUAAUAAAUGGCGUUCUCGUUAUGACGGAGAUUUUUAGAUCUUUUGAAAGUAUAAUACGAAAUUUAAUAUAAAUAAUUUAUUUUCACUGUGAAUGAAUGAAGGAAUGACGUGAGGGGUUUUCGUAUAAUUAAAGUUUUUGAGAAACAGGUAUCGGAAAAAAUUCAUCAAAGCAGAUUAUAAAUUCUCGUUUUAUCCAUAUCAUGUAUAGCUUUUUACUCAAAAGUAUAUUGUAUAUAUUUAUUUGUUUUAUUUAAACACACAAUUUGUUAAAUAAUUUUAACGAGUUAUCUCGCAAAUGAUAAAUACUUACAUAAAACUUUAUUAGUCAAAAUGGUACUGUGAACUACUAAAACUGGCGCUUACUCUGAAAUCGACUCUAAUAGUUUUUAUCAUUAGCUCUAAAGCAAAAAUUAUAUUAAAUGAACAGAAUACUGUAAAUCAAUAAAUAGUUAAGGGUGGUUACUCAGUUCUUGAGCUAAUAACAAAGACUCUUAGGGUCGACAAAUGCCUUAUGUUAUAUGCAAUAAUGAUAUUGCACUGGUGAUGAUACCUAAUGCUAAUUUUAUUUUUAAAGUACAUGCCUUCGGGUAAAAUGAAUUCCGCCGAUCGAAUAAACGCUUAACACAGACACAACUACACAUAGACACGCACAGACACACAUAAACAAUACAUACAAAUUACGCAAAACUUUUUUUCGCAACUUACGAUUAGUUUUAUUUUCUCUGUCAUUCUCACAACGUUUUUGCAAGUUGCCGUUUUCAGCAGAGAUAACAAAAGGGAAGGUCGAGCAUGGCCCGACACACAUGCGCUCUUUUAAUCGUGUAGCCGAUGAUUUUUCGAGGUAUUUAUAGGAUUAAGGCAUCUGUUUCUCUCAAUCUUCUUCUUGUUUCAAAAAGCUGUCGCAAACCCAUCUUAUACUGCGAGUUGGCAACAAAACAGGUGAGCCAUAGCAGUUUACAAGGCUUCCGCAAGGACUGACGUGACUUCCAGGUGAUCAUCAAACGUGUGUUGUUACUGCCUCUUCAAGAGAUCAAGGUGAUUCGCACACUUCUAUUUUAAAUUUUGUUUUGUACCUUUUCCUUUUGAAAAUUCUCGAAUUGUGUAUAUACAUAAAACGUUUAAAAUUUAAAGUAGAAUUGUGCACUUAAACAAUAAAUAUUACCAAAUAUUUGAAUAUUAUUAGGCUCCAUUUUAAUCGAGUUUAUUACAUAUUUUGAUGUUAAUCUAAUAGGAAUAUUAUAAUUCUAAUAGCGGUAUUGUAACAUAGUGAUUACAGAUCACACAUCAAUAAAAGUCUAGUUAAAUGAA
Molecule: unclassified non-coding RNA, 2884 nt
Filed under: Agrilus planipennis (emerald ash borer)
Lineage: Eukaryota; Metazoa; Arthropoda; Insecta; Coleoptera; Buprestidae
Description: luc7-like protein 3, transcript variant X1
Source: RNAcentral